GUGAAACUGAAAGCACUCAAGCUCUCAGUAAAACAAGGCACAGCCUGGGCAGGAGUCAAACCGACAACCUGAAGCAGCCACUCCCCUGUCCGGGACACUGAAGGAAGGAGCUGGUAAUCAGUAACUAGUGUGAGCGGUGAGAUCGUGUGAUCGGAGCCACAGACAUAACUCUCGUGAGAGGUAAGGCCAAGCGAAGGGACGGGGAACGGCAGCAGCUGUGGGAUUGCCACGACGGAGGUAUAGAAGGAGGGCCAGCAACAGUUCAGGAUCGACAAUAAACACGUGUUGUCACCGAAGCCCACAUCCUGUGAAUGAACCAGUGAUCGAUGUUCAGAACUGACAUCUUGCAGAGAGGAGGAGCGAUCCAUUAUCACAGUUCAAUGCGAUGGAGGUGGGUUUGCGCAAUUGAAAUGUUUCAGGAUCCAGGUAACAAAGAAUGCAACGUGAGGAAAUUGUGAAAAUGUCAACAGCUCAAGUUCCAGAUCACUUUUGCUGGAACCAACAUGAACUAAAGAGAACAGAGACCAUACAACACUUUGUAAAUCAGUUUUCUAAGUGGCAAUGUCGAAUGACGGGAUACAUACGUGAACUACAAGAGAUUGCAAACAGUAUUGAUCGGUAUCACAAAGGUGCCACAAUUGCAAAUGUCACAGGGUCUUCUGCAGGUGCUGUAGGAGGUGUGCUUACGUUUGCAGGAAUAAUUGCUGCUCCUUUCACUGCUGGUGGCUCCCUGAUAUUCACCGCUGUUGGAGCGAGCAUAGGAGGAGCUGGUGUUGUCACUAACUUGACAGCUAGCAUCACUGAAUAUGUUACACGGUCAAAGAUGCAGAAAAGGGUAGAUGAGAUCAUCAGACAAUAUAAAAAUGAUUGGAAAGUUAUAUCAGCACACUUGACGAACAUCGACAGUAAUCUCCAGUUCCUGUGUCUUCUUAGUGAGGAAGAAAAUACCGAAUGAGAUUGUAAUGAAGGCACAACAGGGGAUUGUCAAGGGAACAGCAAAGUAAAGCAAGUCACCAGUA
This is a long non-coding RNA of Amblyraja radiata (thorny skate), 1019 nucleotides long. RefSeq lists it as uncharacterized. NCBI's taxonomy places the organism in Eukaryota, Metazoa, Chordata, Chondrichthyes, Rajiformes, Rajidae. The record is from RefSeq and is a predicted model, not a curated record. The transcript has 5 exons.